GGAAGUAAAAGUCGUAACAAGGUUUCCGUAGGUGAACCUGCGGAAGGAUCAUUAAUGAAUUCACUAUGGAGUUGUUGCUGGCCUCUAGGGGCAUGUGCACGCUUCACUAGUCUUUCAACCACCUGUGAACUUUUGAUAGAUCUGUGAAGUCGUCUUUCAAGUCGCCAGACUUGGUUUGCUGGGAUUUAAACGUCUCGGUGUGACAACGCAGUCUAUUUACUUAACACACCCCAAAUGUAUGUCUACGAAUGUCAUUUAAUGGGCCUUGUGCCUAUAAACCAUAAUACAACUUUCAACAACGGAUCUCUUGGCUCUCGCAUCGAUGAAGAACGCAGCGAAAUGCGAUAAGUAAUGUGAAUUGCAGAAUUCAGUGAAUCAUCGAAUCUUUGAACGCACCUUGCGCCCCUUGGUAUUCCGAGGGGCAUGCCUGUUUGAGUGUCAUUAAAUUCUCAAACUCACUUUGGUUUUUUUCCAAUUGUGAUGUUUGGAUUGUUGGGGGCUGCUGGCCUUGACAGGUCGGCUCCUCUUAAAUGCAUUAGCAGGACUUCUCAUUGCCUCUGCGCAUGAUGUGAUAAUUAUCACUCAUCAAUAGCACGCAUGAAUAGAGUCCAGCUCUCUAAUCGUCCGCAAGGACAAUUUGACAAUUUGACCUCAAAUCAGGUAGGACUACCCGCUGAACUUAAGCAUAUCAAUAAGCGGAGGA
RNAcentral lists this ribosomal RNA (703 nucleotides) under Pleurotus sapidus. RNAcentral describes it as "eukaryotic LSU rRNA". The stretch from base 288 to 441 matches the Rfam family "5.8S ribosomal RNA". The record is from RNAcentral. Lineage: Eukaryota; Fungi; Basidiomycota; Agaricomycetes; Agaricales; Pleurotaceae.